This 301-nucleotide ribosomal RNA is filed under the name uncultured bacterium. Its description in RNAcentral is "partial 16S ribosomal RNA". It matches the Rfam family "Bacterial small subunit ribosomal RNA", at positions 509 to 809 of the family's 1533-position model. The record is from RNAcentral.
CAGCCGCCGCGGUAAUACGGAGGGAGCUAGCGUUGUUCGGAAUUACUGGGCGUAAAGCGCGCGUAGGCGGUUACUCAAGUCAGAGGUGAAAGCCCGGGGCUCAACCCCGGAACUGCCUUUGAAACUAGGUGACUAGAAUCUUGGAGAGGUCAGUGGAAUUCCGAGUGUAGAGGUGAAAUUCGUAGAUAUUCGGAAGAACACCAGUGGCGAAGGCGACUGACUGGACAAGUAUUGACGCUGAGGUGCGAAAGCGUGGGGAGCAAACAGGAUUAGAUACCCGCGUAGUCCCUGUCUCUUAUAA